Molecule: small nuclear RNA, 117 nt
Organism: Selaginella moellendorffii
Lineage: Eukaryota; Viridiplantae; Streptophyta; Lycopodiopsida; Selaginellales; Selaginellaceae
Rfam family: U5 spliceosomal RNA
About the family: U5 RNA is a component of both types of known spliceosome. The precise function of this molecule is unknown, though it is known that the 5' loop is required for splice site selection and p220 binding, and that both the 3' stem-loop and the Sm site are important for Sm protein binding and cap methylation.
Source: Rfam
GAGCCGUGUGGUCAGCGCAAAGCGAACUAUUCUUUCGCCUUUUACUAAAGAAUACCGUGUGCUGGCCACAUUAAAGCGGCAUAUCAAAAUUUUUGGGCCGCCUCUGCAAAGGGGCAC